This 492-nucleotide ribosomal RNA is filed under the name uncultured bacterium. Its description in RNAcentral is "partial 16S ribosomal RNA". It matches the Rfam family "Bacterial small subunit ribosomal RNA", at positions 29 to 507 of the family's 1533-position model. The record is from RNAcentral.
AGUGAACGCUGGCGGUAGGCCUAACACAUGCAAGUCGAACGGCAGCACAGUAAGAGCUUGCUCUUACGGGUGGCGAGUGGCGGACGGGUGAGGAAUACAUCGGAAUCUACUUUUUCGUGGGGGAUAACGUAGGGAAACUUACGCUAAUACCGCAUACGACCUACGGGUGAAAGCAGGGGAUCUUCGGACCUUGCGCGAUUGAAUGAGCCGAUGUCGGAUUAGCUAGUUGGCGGGGUAAAGGCCCACCAAGGCGACGAUCCGUAGCUGGUCUGAGAGGAUGAUCAGCCACACUGGAACUGAGACACGGUCCAGACUCCUACGGGAGGCAGCAGUGGGGAAUAUUGGACAAUGGGCGCAAGCCUGAUCCAGCCAUACCGCGUGGGUGAAGAAGGCCUUCGGGUUGUAAAGCCUUUUUGUCGGGAAAGAAAAGCAGCAGGUUAAUACCCCGCUGUUCUGACGGUACCCAAAGAAUAAGCACCGGCUAACUUCGUG